This 200-nucleotide ribosomal RNA is filed under the name uncultured bacterium. RNAcentral's name for it is "partial 16S ribosomal RNA". It matches the Rfam family "Bacterial small subunit ribosomal RNA", at positions 8 to 211 of the family's 1533-position model. The record is from RNAcentral.
AGAGUUUGAUCCUGGCUCAGAACGAACGCUGGCGGCGUGCCUAACACAUGCAAGUCUGACGGGUGCGGAGAGAUUCGCAUCAGUGGCGGACGGGUGAGAAGAGCAUGGGGAAUGUGCCUUGUGGAAGGGGACAACUACUUGAAAAGGUAGCUAAUACCGUAUGAGUAGCUUCUGGGAAGUGCAGAAGCUAGAAAGGUGGG